ACGGAAGGCAGCAGUGGGGAAUAUUGCACAAUGGGCGAAAGCCUGAUGCAGCGACGCCGCGUGAGUGAAGAAGUAUCUCGGUAUGUAAAGCUCUAUCAGCAGGGAAGAAAAUGACGGUACCUGACUAAGAAGCCCCGGCUAACUACGUGCCAGCAGCCGCGGUAAUACGUAGGGGGCAAGCGUUAUCCGGAUUUACUGGGUGUAAAGGGAGCGUAGACGGUUUGGCAAGUCUGAAGUGAAAUGCGGGGGCUCAACUCCUGAACUGCUUUGGAAACUGUCGAACUAGAGUGCAGGAGAGGUAAGUGGAAUUCCUAGUGUAGCGGUGAAAUGCGUAGAUACUAGGAGGAACACCAGUGGCGAAGGCGGCUUACUGGACUGUAACUGACGUUGAGGCUCGAAAGCGUGGGGAGCAAACAGGAUUAGAUACCCUGGUA
Molecule: ribosomal RNA, 434 nt
Filed under: uncultured Lachnospiraceae bacterium
Lineage: Bacteria; Bacillati; Bacillota; Clostridia; Lachnospirales; Lachnospiraceae
Description: partial 16S ribosomal RNA
Rfam family: Bacterial small subunit ribosomal RNA
Source: RNAcentral